RNAcentral lists this ribosomal RNA (499 nucleotides) under Salvatoria sp. MTA-2011. Its description in RNAcentral is "partial 16S ribosomal RNA". It matches the Rfam family "Bacterial large subunit ribosomal RNA", at positions 1806 to 2622 of the family's 2925-position model. The record is from RNAcentral. Lineage: Eukaryota; Metazoa; Annelida; Polychaeta; Phyllodocida; Syllidae.
AACAAAAACAUAGUAUAGAGAGUACACAUUCUAUAUAUUGUCUGCCCAGUGCUAAUAUGUAAAAGGCCGUAGGUAGUAUUACGCUAAGGUAGCAUAUAAUACCCCUCCCAAUUAGAGGAUAGAAUGAAAGGAGCCAUGCUACAAUAGGGACUACUCAACCUUACCAAUUAAACUUAUCUUGGGGUGAAAAAGCCCCAAUAAAAUAAAAAGACAAAAAGUCCCUAGAAGCUUAUCUCAGGAUCCUAAUCCCAAAGUCCAGAAAAUUCGUUGGGGCAACGCAUCACAUAGAUAAAUAGAAGACCCCAUGUCUCACUGAUAACCACAAUAAAACUCUACAAGCUACUCUAGGGAUAACAGGCUAAUAAAGUUUCUAAAGCUCACAUUUACAAACUUGCUUGGCACCUCGAUGUUGGCUUAGGACUCCUAGUUGCUGAAGAAGGUAAAACAGGUGGUUCGUUCAACCAUAAAAGUCCCACAUGAUCUGAGUUCAAACCGGAGA